GGCGGAGUAGCUCAGUUGGUUAGAGCAGCGGAAUCAUAAUCCGCGUGUCGGGAGUUCAAAUCUCUCCUCCGCUAC
Molecule: transfer RNA, 75 nt
Filed under: Fidelibacterota bacterium
Lineage: Bacteria; Pseudomonadati; Fidelibacterota
Description: Candidatus Marinimicrobia bacterium tRNA-Met
Rfam family: tRNA
About the family: Transfer RNA (tRNA) molecules are approximately 80 nucleotides in length. Their secondary structure includes four short double-helical elements and three loops (D, anti-codon, and T loops).
Source: RNAcentral